GAAGAAUGGGCGGGAUGUCCCAGGGUAGCUCGACACGGUCAUCCAUUUUGCAUUAUCACUGUGAACUUAGAAGACGACGCACACGAGAAGUUCUGCUGAGAUAUUAUUUUCCGUGUUGACUUUAUCUUUACUUCAGUUAUUGCUUCAGAGACAACGCACAUGCCACGAAAAGAUCAUUUUUGAGAGAUUCUUGACUGUAACUUUACUUCGGUUGCACUUCAUAGGUGCUUCCUGGGCAUCAACCCUGAUACAGGAUCUAAAUCCAAGAAGAAGCAGGGAGGCAUCAAUCAGCAAGUUUGUUCUCUGCUGCGCAAACUUGUGGAUUUUGAAUGGAUGGCAACAUGAUCAGAUUUUGUGUUAAAGGAGAACUCCGGUCAAUUUUAACAUUGAGCUCAUUUUUUUGUAAAUUUGGAGUGCUGUCAAUACAGAGAACAACGACAAAAAUCGGUGUUGCCUACACUUGUUAUCCUCUUUUUAAAAUUUGCACCCUGUUGACUUCAAUUGGGCAAUGUUUAAACCUGCUUUUAGCCUCUUAACAUCCUUGAUGUGUCAUUACAAGUGCACAGCCAAUGUGAGUGAUUCCUUCAGAGUGAACACGAGUGAAUCUGACUGCAGUAGAUGUGAAAAAUAUGAAUAAAAAUGAAGUUUUUGUUUAGUAUAUGUUUAGUUACCUAUGAUCACGCGCAUGAACUCGACAAUCGACUACUUUGGACUUCAACCGAAAACAGGAAGUAAAUACAGGUAUGAGCGCUGGCCGAAUUAACUUCAUUUUUAUUCAUAUUUUUCACAUCUACUGCAGUCAGAUUCACCCAUGUUAACUCUAAAAAAAUCACUCACAUUGGCUGUGCACUUGUAAUGACACAUCAAGGAUGUUAAGAGGGUAAAAGCAGGUUUAAAAUAUUGCCCCAUUGAAGUCAACAGGGUGCAAAUUUUAAAAAGAGGAUAACAAGUGUAGGCAACACCGAUUUUUGUCGUUGUUCUCUGUAUUGACAGCACUCCAAAUUUACAAAAAAAUGAGCUCAAUGUUAAAAUUGACCGGAGUUCUCCUUUAAGUAUGUACUCGCAUGAAACCUGUGUGUUGGGGCUUGGGUUACCAUGUUAUUUGUUUUAAUGGUAUUACUUUUUUCAUUUGCUCUGGUCAUUGUUGGCUCUCUCCGUUUUUACUUGCCAUAUCGCCACUGAAUAUGUUGGACUGCCCUUCUGGUCAAGACCUUCACUUCUACCUAUUGUUUUGGUAUUUACCUCUAGCUGUGUUUUUUGGAAUGCCAUCUCGUUGCCAACUCUUGCCCGUUGCCGACUCUUGCCCGCUGUUAUGCAAUGACUCUUGCAACGUUUGUUAUGAUAUUGUUGUAUCAAUUUUAUUGAAAAUAAAAUCAAUUGUGGAAACUGUUGUUUAAUCUUUUUUUU
Long non-coding RNA from Cyprinus carpio carpio, 1407 nucleotides. The record is from Ensembl. NCBI's taxonomy places the organism in Eukaryota, Metazoa, Chordata, Actinopteri, Cypriniformes, Cyprinidae.